UUUAUUAAAAACAUGGCCUUUUGAUAAUAAUUUAAGGUCUAACCUGCCCAAUGAGUUGAUUGAAUGGCCGCAGUACUUUGACUGUGCAAAGGUAGCAUAAUCAUUAGUUUUUUAAUUGAAAGCUAGAAUGAAAGGUUGAAUGAGAAAAUAACUGUCUCUAUAGGAUUUUAUUAGAAUUUUAUUUUUAAGUUAAAAAGCUUAAAUGUUUAUAGAAGACGAGAAGACCCUGUAGAAUUUUAUAUUUUUUGUGUAAUGGUUAGUGGACAUUUGUAUCUAUUAUUUAUAAAAAUAUUUGGUUGGGGUGACUUAAAAAUUAGAAAAACUUUUUUUGCAUGAUUACAUUUAUUUAUGAUUUCUUGAUCCUUAAUAAAGAUUAUAAGAUUAAAUUACCUCAGGGAUAACAGCGUAAUUUUUCUUUAAAGUUCAAAUUGAAAGAAAAGUUUGCGACCUCGAUGUUGGAUUAAAAUAAAAUUUCGGCGCAGUAGUUGGAAUAUUUAGGUCUGUUCGACCUUUAAAAUUUUACAUGAUCUGAGUUUAAACCGGCGUGAGCCAGGU
Molecule: ribosomal RNA, 555 nt
Filed under: Gloeodema sp. ARC3527
Lineage: Eukaryota; Metazoa; Arthropoda; Insecta; Coleoptera; Curculionidae
Description: partial 16S ribosomal RNA
Rfam family: Bacterial large subunit ribosomal RNA
Source: RNAcentral